UGCGUAGGCGGGCUAAUAAGUCAGUGGUGAAAUCUCUCGGCUCAACCAGGAAACUGCCAUUGAUACUGUUAGUCUUGAGUUCGGUUGAGGUAGGCGGAAUGUGUAAUGUAGCGGUGAAAUGCUUAGAUAUUACACAGAACACCAAUUGCGUAGGCAGCUUACUAGACCGACACUGACGCUGAGGCACGAAAGCGUGGGGAGCGAACAGGAUUAGAUACCCUGGUAGUCC
Molecule: ribosomal RNA, 229 nt
Filed under: uncultured bacterium
Lineage: Bacteria
Description: partial 16S ribosomal RNA
Rfam family: Bacterial small subunit ribosomal RNA
Source: RNAcentral